Molecule: long non-coding RNA, 241 nt
Filed under: Nicotiana benthamiana
Lineage: Eukaryota; Viridiplantae; Streptophyta; Magnoliopsida; Solanales; Solanaceae
Description: long non-coding RNA (NBEN_LNC028570)
Source: RNAcentral
AAGUAGCCUAUUUGGCUCAGAUAUGACUCUUUCCUUUAAUGACCAAAAUGGUCUACAUGUGAGUAGUAUCAUCAUUGCCUAUUUACAUAUCUCAACAUCCCCCCUCAAGUUGAAGGGGGGAAACCACCUUUAACUUGGACAAUAGAGGAGAAAGAGCAGUCUCAGAUAAUGCCUUGGCCAACGGAUCAGCCAGCUGCUGAGAAGUGGAAACAUGGGAAAGCUUUAGGAAACCAUUGUGUAG